AACGCACAUUGCGCCCCUCGGUAUUCCGUGGGGCAUGCCUGUUCGAGCGUCAUCUACACCCUCAAGCUCUGCUUGGUGUUGGGCGUCUGUCCCGCCUCCGCGCGUGGACUCGCCCCAAAUUCAUUGGCAGCGGUCCUUGCCUCCUCUCGCGCAGCACAUUGCUCUUCUUGAGGGGCUCCGGUUCGCGUCCAACAAGCACAUUUACCGUCUUUGACCUCGGAUCAGGUAGGGAUACCCGCUGAACUUAA
Molecule: unclassified non-coding RNA, 248 nt
Filed under: Athelopsis sp.
Lineage: Eukaryota; Fungi; Basidiomycota; Agaricomycetes; Atheliales; Atheliaceae
Description: partial contains 5.8S ribosomal RNA, internal transcribed spacer 2, and large subunit ribosomal RNA
Source: RNAcentral